Molecule: long non-coding RNA, 998 nt
Organism: Aedes albopictus (Asian tiger mosquito)
Lineage: Eukaryota; Metazoa; Arthropoda; Insecta; Diptera; Culicidae
Exons: 3
Source: RefSeq, a predicted model, not a curated record
ACCGCUGAUCAAUCGCCUCAUCAACCGACAUCGAGAAAAUCCGUCCACUACAGCGCCGCCCACGGAUGCUGAAAACUCGAAGCAAUUCCGGUCGAUCGUCAACAUUGGCACUCUCACCCGCAAGAUUCAACGGACCCUCCGUGUGGAUUAUCCGGAAGUGGUUAUUUGUCCACAACAACGCAAGACUGUAAAAUCCAUAAUACCAGGAGUGAAGGACAAGUUAGAGGCAAACCAACGAUCCAACGUGAUAUACAAAAUCCCGUGUGCAGACUGUAGGGCAAGCUAUGUAGGUAUGACAUCGUGCCGACUGAAAGAUCGUGUGUCUGGUCACCGAUCGACGAUCAACAAACUGGAGGAACUACGAGCAGCGGGGAAAGACGAGAUGGAUCAUGAGAUGGCAAGACUGAGAGAGAAAACUAUGCUACUAGAUCACUGUAUCACCAACAUCCACAAUUUUCUAUUAGAUAAUGUAGAAGUAUUAGACUCAAGCAACAAAAAACAGAAUUUAGCCAUAUUAGAGUCAUGCCACAUCUUGAACACACCAAACACUGUCAACAAACGAACUGACACCGAAAACCUGAGCGGCACGUACGCAGGGGUAUUACACACAGUCAAAACGACACAGCACACAACACAUAGAAGAACAGAGGAAUAGGCGCACAAUAGCGAUCAUCACUAUAACGAGAAACAGACAGAAUCGAAAUCUGGCGCGAAAGUGACGCCGCCGGUAAGUGGUAGAUCGUAGGAGGUAAAACAGAUACUGAUAGAUUUGAAAAAGUGCGCCAACCAACGAACUCAACCACUGAAGUGAAGACGUGCGACUAUGUUUAAAACAUACAUAACCUCACGAGUAAACGGAGGGAUUGUAUCUAUCCUUUGAAAAAGGCACAAUAUAUGUGACCGAAACGUCAGGUGUUGAACCAAUAUCCGUUUAUGAUUACAUAGAGACUGGAAGCCGAAAACCCCCGCUAGCAUAAUACCAAUCACAGUCGAUCCCC